This 682-nucleotide ribosomal RNA is filed under the name uncultured Anaplasmataceae bacterium. RNAcentral describes it as "bacterial SSU rRNA". It matches the Rfam family "Bacterial small subunit ribosomal RNA", at positions 68 to 779 of the family's 1533-position model. Lineage: Bacteria; Pseudomonadati; Pseudomonadota; Alphaproteobacteria; Rickettsiales; Anaplasmataceae. The record is from RNAcentral.
GAGUUAUCUUACAGCCUGUUAUGGUAUAACUUAGUGGCCGACGGGUGAGUAAUGUAUAGGAAUCUACCUAGUAGUACUGAAUAAUUGUUGGAAACGGCAACUAAUACCGUAUACGCCCUACGGGGGAAAAAUUUAUUGCUAUUAGAUGAGCCUAUAUUAGAUUAGCUAGUUGGUGGGGUAAUAGCCUACCAAGGCAAUGAUCUAUAGCUGAUCUGAGAGGAUGAUCAGCCACACUGGAACUGAGAUACGGUCCAGACUUCUACGGGAGGCAGCAGUGGGGAAUAUUGGACAAUGGGCGAAAGCCUGAUCCAGCCAUGUCGCAUGAGUGAAGAAGGCCUUUGGGUUGUAAAGCUCUUUUAGUGAGGAAGAUAAUGACGGUACUCACAGAAGAAGUCCUGGCUAACUCCGUGCCAGCAGCCGCGGUAAUACGGAGAGGGCUAGCGUUAUUCGGAAUUAUUGGGCGUAAAGGGCGCGUAGGCUGAUUAAUAAGUUAAAAGUGAAAUCCCGAGGCUUAACCUUGGAAUUGCUUUUAAAACUAUUAAUCUAGAGAUUGAAAGAGGAUAGAGGAAUUCCUGAUGUAGAGGUAAAAUUCGUAAAUAUUAGGAGGAACACCAGUGGCGAAGGCGUCUAUCUGGUUCAAAUCUGACGCUGAGGCGCGAAGGCGUGGGGAGCAAACAGGAUU